CCUAUGAAAUCGAGUGGCAAACGGGUGAGUAACGCGUAAACAACCUGCCCUUCGGAUGGGGAUAACAGCCGGAAACGGCUGCUAAUACCGAAUACGAUCUUUUCGUCGCAUGACGGAAAGAAGAAAGGAUGGCCUCUAUACAAAGCUAUCGCCGAGGGAGGGGUUUGCGUCUGAUUAGCUGGUUGGAGGGGUAACGGCCCAACAAGGCGAUGAUCAGUAGCCGGUCUGAGAGGAUGAACGACCACAUUGGGACUGAGACACGGCCCAGACUCCUACGGGAGGCAGCAGUGGGGAAUCUUCCGCAAUGGACGAAAGUCUGACGGAGCAACGCCGCGUGAGUGAAGAAGGUCUUCGGAUUGUAAAACUCUGUUAUACGGGACGAAAAAGACGGAUGCCAACAGUAUCCGUCCGUGACGGU
This 418-nucleotide ribosomal RNA is filed under the name uncultured bacterium. RNAcentral describes it as "bacterial SSU rRNA". It matches the Rfam family "Bacterial small subunit ribosomal RNA", at positions 82 to 476 of the family's 1533-position model. The record is from RNAcentral.